Molecule: ribosomal RNA, 245 nt
Filed under: uncultured bacterium
Lineage: Bacteria
Description: partial 16S ribosomal RNA
Rfam family: Bacterial small subunit ribosomal RNA
Source: RNAcentral
GACAGAGGGUGCAAGCGUUAAUCGGAGUGAUUGGGCGUAAAGGGCGCGUAGGCGGUGGAGAAAGUUAGUUGUGAAAUACCAAAGCUUAACUAUGGAAUUGCAGCUAAGACUAAGACACUAGAGUGAAGCAGAGGGGAGUAGAAUUUCCAGUGUAGCGGUGAAAUGCGUAGAUAUUGGAAAGAAUAUCAGUGGCGAAAGCGGCUCUCUGGGCUUAAACUGACGCUGAGGCGCGAAAGCGUGGGGAG